GAUGAACGCUAGCGAUAGGCUUAACACAUGCAAGUCGAGGGGCAGCACAAGGUAGCUUGCUAUCUGGGUGGCGACCGGCGCACGGGUGCGUAACGCGUAUGCAACUUGCCCUAUACAGGAGGAUAACCCGUCGAAAGACGGACUAAUACUGCGUAUGCUCACAACUUGGCAUCAAGUGGUGAGGAAAGAAAUUCGGUAUAGGAUAGGCAUGCGUCCCAUUAGCUUGUUGGUGAGGUAACGGCUCACCAAGGCAACGAUGGGUAGGGGAACUGAGAGGUUUAUCCCCCACACUGGUACUGAGACACGGGCCAGACUCCUACGGGAGGCAGCAGUGAGGAAUAUUGGUCAAUGGGCGCGAGCCUGAACCAGCCAAGUCGCGUGAAGGAUGACUGUCUUAUGGAUUGUAAACUUCUUUUAUACGGGAAUAACAAGAGUCACGUGUGACUCCCUGCAUGUACCGUAUGAAUAAGCAUCGGCUAACUCCGUG
This 487-nucleotide ribosomal RNA is filed under the name uncultured bacterium. Its description in RNAcentral is "partial 16S ribosomal RNA". It matches the Rfam family "Bacterial small subunit ribosomal RNA", at positions 28 to 507 of the family's 1533-position model. The record is from RNAcentral.